CCUGCCGAAGCCCACAGAGAAGGCAAAUACAAGGGAGGUGCAAUGAAGGGCUGAGUGAGGAGAGAACAGAGGUUUUAUAAGGACUAUGGUCAAAGGAGAUUUGUUGAAAAGGAUGAGAGUUGAACUGGACUGUGAAGCAUUUGGUUCUACAGAAAAGAAGGAAGAUGUCAGAUGGACAAAGGUCAGAACCUCAAACACCACUUCCUGGAGGGGAAGCAGGGAGAAGAAUAAGAUGCAAAUAAAGGAAAUCCUCUUAUCUGAAUUCCAUCCAUUUAUCUUGAGUGAGUGUCACCACAUUCUUG
This 302-nucleotide long non-coding RNA is filed under the name Bos indicus x Bos taurus (hybrid cattle). RNAcentral describes it as "lncRNA (ENSBIXG00005021589.1)". Lineage: Eukaryota; Metazoa; Chordata; Mammalia; Artiodactyla; Bovidae. The record is from RNAcentral.